This is a small nuclear RNA of Pteronotus mesoamericanus, 107 nucleotides long. The record is from RefSeq and is a predicted model, not a curated record. Lineage: Eukaryota; Metazoa; Chordata; Mammalia; Chiroptera; Mormoopidae.
GUGCUUGCUCCAGCAACACAUAUACUGAAAUUGAAACAAUACAGAGAAGACUAUCACAGUCCCUGGACAAAGAUGACACACAAAUUCCUGAUGCAUUCCAUAUUUUU